UCUCAUAUUCGAAGGCAAGGCAAUCGUCCAACACACGUCUUAGCUCAGUAUGUUAGGAAUUUAGUUAGUUUUAUAGCUUGGAUAGAGGAAAAUCCUAUUAUGAUUGAGUCGACUUUGGCUUAAGAUGAAAGCAGUUGAACAAGAGAUUCAUGGGGAACCCUUGGCAACAUCAUACCACUUGAAGUUUACCGGAACAGUUGAUUAAAUUUGGUAGUUCAAUUUUGUCGUAUAAAUUACAAUAGUCUGUUUGACUUCAAAAAAUUUUAAUUACUGAUCUGUUUGAUUGACACAGGCAUACACAAGAACUUGUUCCUGUGAGAGUUAUUGAGACCCUACCCAUUGAUACAAAAAGUGUUAUUUGUAUGCAUACAUCCCACUUAGUUGUCUAUCUUGAAUAUAAGAUGAAGCAAAGGUUCUAAUUAUAAGCUGAGUUUAAUGGACAUUUUUUAAGUAGGGUCAUGUUUGCACCUGUUACAAUUCUCUCCAGGACAUAUGGGAGUUUCUGUCACCUGGAGUACUCUGUAUAGCUUUUUAAUAGAUAAUUGAUGCUGGUUAAAAUGCAAUGGUUGCAAGGGGAUCAGUUGAUAGAGGGUUUUAUUAUUUUCAAAUUCCUAGGCCUUCUUUUCCCAUUUAAAUGAAGAGAAAGUGUAACCAAAUGAAGUUUUCCAUUGGAAGGGUGAAAGAUGGAUAUCAUAAAUGAUUCCAGUAGCUAUUUUUGUGUUCUGGACUAAAGAAGUUGCAAUUUUGGUGUCUCGCUGACUUCAUGUAAUUCGGGACUUCGCCUUUGGUUGAAUUUGACCCUUUGCUUUUGUAUUUUUUUUUUUUUUUUUUCAUUUUUUCAAUUGUAUGCAACUUCUUUUCCAAAAAUAGAAAAUGGAAAUGUUUUAUCAGAAUAUAAUUGCUGAAUAAUACUUAAAAUUCAUGUUACAGACUUCACAGAGGGGUGUACACAUAACGUUUUGUAGACUUUGUAUUGCUCUUUGUCAUUUCUCAUAAUUAACUGUGUGACAACUUCUUGUUUUUAUCCACUUUUUCACGCUCUCUGUGUCUCAGCCCCUUCCUCUUUAUCAAAAAAAGAAUGUACUAAUAGUCAGCUGGUGUAGUGAAAUAUUCAGUAAUUUUCAAUGAUGGCAAGUUUGGAUUGACGGAGAAGAGAGGGGGGAAGGGUAGAACAGAGUUAGUCAGAAAUUAUCAGAGAAAUCAACUCAUGGCAAUGGCCAAAAGUGGACUUGCACAUAGGAAUCGCAAUCUGGCCCAUAAUGUUGAAGGUGGGGGACAGGUUUUGGUCUCCCCGCCCUGGGAUAAUUUGUAUAAGUAAAAACAAAUCCCUUCCUCUGACACUCAGAGUUUAGUCUUUUUAUAUAUAUAAAUAACACAUAAUAUAUGUACUUAUCAAUGUCGUAAGUAUGCUAUAUGUUGCCUGUGCUCUCUAUGUUCUAUUGUCUCUGGAUUCAUCAGGUUUCGAUGUUACUUUGGCAGAAAUGGGGCAGCGAUUAUCUUGCUCUUGUAUAUGAACUGGAUUUUGAAGAUAAUGUCAAAGGGACAUGAAUACUUCUGCUUCUAAAUCAAUCCCUACGGGGAUUGUACAAUCUAGAGCUCUCUGUUCUUUGGAGUAACAAAGGUUUUGCUGAACUGGCUUCUUUGCCAUGUCUUGAAGGUGACUUGUUGAAACAUUCAUUUGUCUGUGGGAAUAGGUGAUAAUCUUAAUUACAAACAACUGAUAUAUGGAAGUGGGAGCAGUG
Long non-coding RNA from Quercus lobata, 1742 nucleotides. RefSeq lists it as uncharacterized. NCBI's taxonomy places the organism in Eukaryota, Viridiplantae, Streptophyta, Magnoliopsida, Fagales, Fagaceae. The transcript is spliced from 3 exons. The record is from RefSeq and is a predicted model, not a curated record.